Molecule: long non-coding RNA, 667 nt
Filed under: Phoenix dactylifera (date palm)
Lineage: Eukaryota; Viridiplantae; Streptophyta; Magnoliopsida; Arecales; Arecaceae
Description: long non-coding RNA (PDAC_LNC009891)
Source: RNAcentral
GUGGAGGUUUAUCAAUUAAUUGUUUCUCUCCUAGAAAACUAUCUAUUUGAGUUGUCAUGAUCUUUGGCUUUGGAUCGUGAGAUCAACAAUUAACCUUAGAGCACCUGCUCUGAUACCACUUGUUGCCCAGUAGAUACAACCCAAGAGGGGGGGUGAAUUGGAUUUUUUAAAGCUUUUCAACUAUUUCUAAAUUUUUCAAUUAAUUAAGCUAAGUUGUAUAGAUGCACAGUGGAAUUUAAACUUAGCUAUAGUUUGAUUCUAAUCUGAUCAAGAUUAAAACUAUUAAGGAGCGGACUCAAUAAACAAUUAGUCUAGAUUUCCCCAAGCAAGCAUUUCAAUAUAAUGAAUCUUAAUGCAGUUUUAUUAAAAGAAACUUGAGUAAACAAUUUGAAUAUACUUGCAACUAAAGGAUGCGCGGAUAAGAGUUAAGCAAGCAAUUCAAUUAAAUAUUUAUCUAAGUAAGUGAGGAAAUUAAACAAUGAAAGAAAGCAUCACAAACACAACAAACAUAUAGUGGUUCGGUGCACCCCAGCACCUACAUCCACUCUCCAAGACCUCUUGGGAAUUUCACUAUAAUCCCUCAGAUUACAGCCGGUUGUUUUACAAGCUCACAACCUAACUUGUUGUUUUCACGAGAUCACAACGAACUCGGUCGGUUUUCACAGUC